This 391-nucleotide unclassified non-coding RNA is filed under the name soil metagenome. RNAcentral describes it as "partial contains 5.8S ribosomal RNA, internal transcribed spacer 2, and large subunit ribosomal RNA". The stretch from base 1 to 122 matches the Rfam family "5.8S ribosomal RNA", at positions 35 to 154 of the family's 154-position model. The record is from RNAcentral.
GAUGAAGAACGUAGCGAAAUGCGAUACUUGGUGUGAAUUGCAGAAUCCCGUGAACCAUCGAGUCUUUGAACGCAAGUUGCGCCCGAAGCCAUUAGGCCGAGGGCACGCCUGCCUGGGCGUCACACGUCGUUGCCCCCCCAUCUACUCCUUCGGGAUUGCGGGGGGCGGAUGAUGGCCUCCCGUGCGCCUCGUCGCGCGGUUGGCAUAAAUGCCAAGCCCUCGGCGACGCACGCCACGACAAUCGGUGGUUGCGAAACCUCGGUUGCCCGUCGUGUGCGGUCGUCGCGCAUCGAGGGCUCGAAAAAAUUGCCGGGUUCCGGCUCGGCUUUCAACGCGACCCCAGGUCAGGCGGGGUUACCCGCUGAAUUUAAGCAUAUCAAUAAGCGGAGGA